This 1227-nucleotide long non-coding RNA is filed under the name Monodelphis domestica (gray short-tailed opossum). Its description in RNAcentral is "lncRNA (ENSMODG00000031362.2)". Lineage: Eukaryota; Metazoa; Chordata; Mammalia; Didelphimorphia; Didelphidae. The record is from RNAcentral.
UCACCCUCUCUUAUAUCUAUCACAAUUUAUAUCUUCCACCAUUUUAACUCACUACAGUUUAUGGGCUUCACUAUUUUAAAUCUAACACCUCCCAAAUUACCUUGCUUUUAAAUACUUUGAAUAUAUUUUUAUAUAGUCACGUUUAUGUUGAUCUAUAUAUUUCUAUAUGUAGUUAUUAUCUCCCCUAUUAGAAUGUAGGGAGAAUUUAAUUUUUUAUACUUGUAUUCCAAGUGCCUAGUAUAAGAUCUGGAUAAAUAAAUACUGUAAAGAUUAAAUUUAACUCUCCCCUAAUUGUGAAAAUGAAAAUUAAUUAACUCUCCCUUGAUUGUAAAGAUUAAAUCAACUCCCAUGCCCAUUUUUCUAUUUAAUCACCAAAAGUGUAAACACCUAACUUACAGUUCAGUGGGGAGGUCUGUGACCCACACGUGCAAUAGUGGGUGAUGAAUCAGAAUUGACUUACUGCCCCUGGGCAAUCCUAAGCAAGGCUUUAGAUUCUGAUUUGCCCAUGUAAAAAGUGGAAGAAGGCACAGGAAGUGAUGCAAAUGAAAUUGUCUUUAAAAGGGAGUUACAACUUCCUCUGGGGGAGAAUCUUCUGAGAUUCGUGGGAGAUUCAUCUGGGAUUUGUCUGAGAUCUUCAGAGAGACUGCUUCUUCAGAGAGUUCUUGAGUUCUUCAUGCUUGGGACUUCUGACUGCUCACAUUCUUCUGGAGUUCUGAGUUUGAGUUGGAGACUGGUAAAGAAUCUGCUGACUGGAUCUGAUACCCUGUACAUGGAAAUGGGAUCAAAAAAGGAGCACACACUUCAUCUACAUAGUGCCAUAGAAGCACGAAUUUAACCUGAAUAGUGCCACUGGUCAAAAAGGAAACCAAUCCAGGUGGGAUUGAUGAACUUCUAUGCCAAUACAAAAGGACUUGAACCUAGUGUGAAACUCGAGGAUGUGGUGCUUGACAUAUGUUAAGAUGCAGGACUCUUUGAACCACACUCCUUAUGAAAUACUUUCUAUCAAAAGUACCUAACAAUUGUCUGUUCUGGCUCCCUUAUCCCUGAGAAAUGAUGAAAAAUCAGACCAGGGCAUGACACUUUCCUUUUUACACAAAAAUCUAGUCCUUUUUUCUCUCUUAUAGUAUGGCAACUUCCUGUAGCCCUGGUUUAUAAUUGGUAUAUACAAUAUUACUAUUUUUUUUUCCUACAGAUUUGUGGGACAGAAAUUUACUUUAAUUAGACCCU